This 440-nucleotide ribosomal RNA is filed under the name uncultured bacterium. RNAcentral describes it as "partial 16S ribosomal RNA". It matches the Rfam family "Bacterial small subunit ribosomal RNA", at positions 338 to 795 of the family's 1533-position model. The record is from RNAcentral.
CCUACGGGGGGCAGCAGUGGGGAAUAUUGCACAAUGGGGGAAACCCUGAUGCAGCGACGUCGCGUGAGUGAAGAAGUAACUCGGUAUUGUAAGCUCCAUCAGUAGGGAAGAAAAUGACGGUACCUGAGUAACAAUCCCCGGCUAAAUACGUUCCAGCAGCCGCGGUAAUACGUAGGGGGCAAGCGUUAUCCGGAUUUACUGGGCGUAAAGGGAGCGUAGACGGCAGUGCAAGUCUGGAGGGAAAGGCGGGGGCUCAACCCCCGGACUGCUCUGGAAACUGUACGGCUGGAGUGCAGGAGAGGUAAGUGGAAUUCCUAGUGUAGCGGUGAAAUGCGUAGAUAUUAGGAGGAACACCAGUGGCGAAGGCGGCUUACUGGAGUGUAACUGACGUUGAGGCUCGAAAGCGUGGGGAGCGAACAGGAUUAGAUACCCGAGUAGUC